Molecule: non-coding RNA, 918 nt
Organism: Sus scrofa (pig)
Lineage: Eukaryota; Metazoa; Chordata; Mammalia; Artiodactyla; Suidae
Source: RefSeq, a predicted model, not a curated record
CCUUCCCUGAGUUUCAGAACAAAUUUAAUCAGAGAAGUGAGAAAAUUCAGAAAUAAAGGAAAACCGUCAAGCAAGACAAACUAAGAAGAGUUUAGCCAUUCGACAAAGUCAAGGACCUCAAGAACCUUAAGUUCCUCCUCAAGGACUACAGGUGUGAUGACCGUUUUUAACUCCACGGCGAUUUUGAAGACCAGGAACGUUCAUGGGAAACACGUUCCAUUUGAUGUGAGCGUCUCCUCUGAGUUUCCUUGUGGUGUCUGCCUCCCAAAGCCUUCUUCCUCCCUCCUCCGUACCUGAUCAAGCACAGGUGAAGGAAUGAAGUCAUUGCUCUAGACCUGCCACCCAAGAGUCAGGAUGCAGACACAUCACCAAAGAACAAGGUCCUUCCAGAGUGGCCCGACUUUGGUGCUGUUGACAACUGAGGCUGGAUCCUUUAGGGUGGGGGCUGAUCAGGAGGAUGGGCAACUCCAGCGGAAGACUUAAGAGAGACAGAAGAAAUGCCUUCUCCACGGGCAGAUGGAGUGAGCAGUGUAGAAUCCAUCACCACAGUUCAAGGCAUCUCAGAGACUCAUUUCUGAAGCCAGGGCAGAAGAAUCGUGCUGCAUCUCUACAGAAACGUAGGAACUGGGACUGGUGGAUCAACAGUUAUUACAGAAGUUGAAAGAAGGAAGGAAAGAAGAAAACAUGAGUAGCAGAUGAAGAGAAACCCAUCAUUUUAUGUCUUUUUGCUUCUCGCUGCACCCUCACUCCAGGGAGACUCAGUGCAUGAGGAGGAGUGAUUUUAAGAAAGAGAGCUUCGCCCCAGUGUCCACUGACAGAGGAAUGGAUAAAGAAGAUGUGGUACAUGUAUGCAAUGGAAUACUACUCAGCCAUAAAAAAGAAUGACAUCAUGCCAUUUGCAGCCACAUGGAUGGACCU